This 296-nucleotide unclassified non-coding RNA is filed under the name fungal sp. Its description in RNAcentral is "partial internal transcribed spacer region". The stretch from base 1 to 46 matches the Rfam family "Eukaryotic small subunit ribosomal RNA", at positions 1786 to 1831 of the family's 1831-position model. Lineage: Eukaryota; Fungi. The record is from RNAcentral.
AAGUCGUAACAAGGUUUCCGUAGGUGAACCUGCGGAAGGAUCAUUAAUGAAAUGAUGUUUUUUGGGGUUUUUAAUCUCAAAAAAUAAUUCACCUUUUGUGCAUUGUUAUUAGAUAUACUUUGGUUAGAGCUUUGAUUUCAUUGAUUGGAAUCAACUUCUUGCUGACUCUAUCCCUUCAGUGGACAGUUGGCUAUGAAGCGGCCUACCAAGGUUUUUUUAUCAAACUCUUGUAUUUUGUCUGACCUAAAAUAUCAAUAAUUAAAUCAUAACUUUCAACAACGGAUCUCUUGGCUCUC